This 200-nucleotide ribosomal RNA is filed under the name Clostridioides difficile. Its description in RNAcentral is "partial 23S ribosomal RNA". It matches the Rfam family "Bacterial large subunit ribosomal RNA", at positions 534 to 733 of the family's 2925-position model. Lineage: Bacteria; Bacillati; Bacillota; Clostridia; Peptostreptococcales; Peptostreptococcaceae. The record is from RNAcentral.
GGGAGUGAAAUAGAACCUGAAACCCUGCACUUACAAGCUGUGGAAGCACAUUUCUUGUGUGACCGCGUACUUGUUGUAGAACGGGCCAACGAGUUACGUUAAGUAGCAAGGUUAAGCACUUAAGGUGUGGAGCCGUAGCGAAAGCGAGUUUUAACUGAGCGUUCAGUUACUUGACGUAGACCCGAAACCGGGCGACCUAC